RNAcentral lists this ribosomal RNA (512 nucleotides) under Peglionia verticiclada. Its description in RNAcentral is "eukaryotic LSU rRNA". The stretch from base 174 to 327 matches the Rfam family "5.8S ribosomal RNA". Lineage: Eukaryota; Fungi; Ascomycota; Sordariomycetes; Xylariales; Microdochiaceae. The record is from RNAcentral.
GGUCUCCGUAGGUGGACCUGCGGAGGGAUCAUUACAGAGUUUUUAACUCCCAACCCAUGUGAACUUACCACUGUUGCCUCGGCGGCAGGUCGUCUCUCGGGAUGGCAGCCGCCGGUGGACUUCUAAACUAUUGUUAAUUUUUGGCAUUCUGAAUUUUAAACUUAAUAAGUUAAAACUUUCAACAACGGAUCUCUUGGUUCUGGCAUCGAUGAAGAACGCAGCGAAAUGCGAUAAGUAAUGUGAAUUGCAGAAUUCAGUGAAUCAUCGAAUCUUUGAACGCACAUUGCGCCCAUUAGUAUUCUAGUGGGCAUGCCUGUUCGAGCGUCAUUUCAAUCCUUAAGCCUUGCUUAGUGUUGGGAGACUGCCUAAACCGCAGCUCCUCAAAGACAGUGGCAGAGUCUAGGUGUGCUCUGAGCGUAGUAAUUCUUUUAUCUCGCUUCUGUAAGCCGCCCUAUGGCAUAGCCAUAAGCCUUUUUUAUACCGAAAUGUUGACCUCGGAUCAGGUAGGAUUA